GGUAUACUUAAUGUUUUCAGCGGCGCG
This 27-nucleotide small RNA is filed under the name Bombyx mori (domestic silkworm). RNAcentral describes it as "ovarian small RNA-17555". The record is from RNAcentral. Lineage: Eukaryota; Metazoa; Arthropoda; Insecta; Lepidoptera; Bombycidae.